UUUGAGGGGAAUGUUGUCUGGCUCGGGGGCGCCGCUCUUUCUCUGACCUGCUCCUUUCUCCUCCGAUCCAUCUCGCUCUUCCUCUCUCCUGGAGGUAGAGAGGAGAUCGAUCGAUGGGCAGGAGUGAGAGGAGAUGGGUGUAGAUCUCGGACCAGGCUUCAUUCCCCCCAAA
Molecule: microRNA precursor, 172 nt
Filed under: Setaria italica (foxtail millet)
Lineage: Eukaryota; Viridiplantae; Streptophyta; Magnoliopsida; Poales; Poaceae
Description: pre miRNA mir-166
Rfam family: mir-166 microRNA precursor family
About the family: This family represents the plant microRNA (miRNA) precursor mir-166.
Source: Rfam by way of RNAcentral